GACCGGGUAGCUCAGUUGGCAGAGCAUUGGGCUAGUAUUCCAAAGGUCGUAGGUUCGAUUCCCACCGUGGUCA
This 73-nucleotide transfer RNA is filed under the name Paramuricea clavata. It matches the Rfam family "tRNA". Rfam says of the family: Transfer RNA (tRNA) molecules are approximately 80 nucleotides in length. Their secondary structure includes four short double-helical elements and three loops (D, anti-codon, and T loops). Further hydrogen bonds mediate the characteristic L-shaped molecular structure. tRNAs have two regions of fundamental functional importance: the anti-codon, which is responsible for specific mRNA codon recognition, and the 3' end, to which the tRNAs corresponding amino acid is attached (by aminoacyl-tRNA synthetases). tRNAs cope with the degeneracy of the genetic code in two manners: having more than one tRNA (with a specific anti-codon) for a particular amino acid; and 'wobble' base-pairing, i.e. permitting non-standard base-pairing at the 3rd anti-codon position. The record is from Rfam by way of RNAcentral. Lineage: Eukaryota; Metazoa; Cnidaria; Anthozoa; Malacalcyonacea; Plexauridae.